AAAAUACGGGAGGCAGCAGUGGGGAAUAUUGCGCAAUGGGGGCAACCCUGACGCAGCCAUGCCGCGUGAAUGAAGAAGGCCUUCGGGUUGUAAAGUUCUUUCGGUAGCGAGGAAGGCAUUUAGUUUAAUAGACUAGGUGAUUGACGUUAACUACAGAAGAAGCACCGGCUAACUCCGUGCCAGCAGCCGCGGUAAUUUU
Molecule: ribosomal RNA, 199 nt
Filed under: uncultured bacterium
Lineage: Bacteria
Description: partial 16S ribosomal RNA
Rfam family: Bacterial small subunit ribosomal RNA
Source: RNAcentral